UUGUGCGGGUAGAUGAUCACCGCAAACUGAUGAUCGUGGUUUUGGAUGAGGGUUCGCUUGAAGCCGUUCAAGUGCCCGGCCUCUACGGGUAUCCACACGAAGCAGAGAACCAAUCCAAGUGCUCCAAUCUCCCCGGGGUGCUAGCUCUCUUGCAGAGAUUACUUUGAUGGCUGAUCACCUCCCUUUCAAUCAACCCUUGAAUGCUAGAGGGAGGAGGAAGAAGAUGAAAGGAUCAAGGAAGAAGAUCCAAAAAGCUAGAUGCAGCCUUUCCUUCCCUUGCGUUGAAUCCCAAACGGAGGAGGAAGAAGCAGACCACCAUGGAUCUUUUUCCUUCUUGCUUGCGGCUGAUCCAAGAGGAGAGGAGAAAGGGGGC
RNAcentral lists this long non-coding RNA (373 nucleotides) under Phoenix dactylifera (date palm). RNAcentral's name for it is "long non-coding RNA (PDAC_LNC017726)". The record is from RNAcentral. Lineage: Eukaryota; Viridiplantae; Streptophyta; Magnoliopsida; Arecales; Arecaceae.